Molecule: ribosomal RNA, 1099 nt
Filed under: Bacillus sp. (in: firmicutes)
Lineage: Bacteria; Bacillati; Bacillota; Bacilli; Caryophanales; Bacillaceae
Description: bacterial SSU rRNA
Rfam family: Bacterial small subunit ribosomal RNA
Source: RNAcentral
CUGCAUGCGGGUGCUAUACAUGCAGUCGAGCGGACAGAUGGGAGCUUGCUCCCUGAUGUUAGCGGCGGACGGGUGAGUAACACGUGGGUAACCUGCCUGUAAGACUGGGAUAACUCCGGGAAACCGGGGCUAAUACCGGAUGCUUGUUUGAACCGCAUGGUUCAAACAUAAAAGGUGGCUUCGGCUACCACUUACAGAUGGACCCGCGGCGCAUUAGCUAGUUGGUGAGGUAAUGGCUCACCAAGGCAACGAUGCGUAGCCGACCUGAGAGGGUGAUCGGCCACACUGGGACUGAGACACGGCCCAGACUCCUACGGGAGGCAGCAGUAGGGAAUCUUCCGCAAUGGACGAAAGUCUGACGGAGCAACGCCGCGUGAGUGAUGAAGGUUUUCGGAUCGUAAAGCUCUGUUGUUAGGGAAGAACAAGUACCGUUCGAAUAGGGCGGUACCUUGACGGUACCUAACCAGAAAGCCACGGCUAACUACGUGCCAGCAGCCGCGGUAAUACGUAGGUGGCAAGCGUUGUCCGGAAUUAUUGGGCGUAAAGGGCUCGCAGGCGGUUCCUUAAGUCUGAUGUGAAAGCCCCCGGCUCAACCGGGGAGGGUCAUUGGAAACUGGGGAACUUGAGUGCAGAAGAGGAGAGUGGAAUUCCACGUGUAGCGGUGAAAUGCGUAGAGAUGUGGAGGAACACCAGUGGCGAAGGCGACUCUCUGGUCUGUAACUGACGCUGAGGAGCGAAAGCGUGGGGAGCGAACAGGAUUAGAUACCCUGGUAGUCCACGCCGUAAACGAUGAGUGCUAAGUGUUAUGGGGUUUCCGCCCCUUAGUGCUGCAGCUAACGCAUUAAGCACUCCGCCUGGGGAGUACGGUCGCAAGACUGAAACUCAAAGGAAUUGACGGGGGCCCGCACAAGCGGUGGAGCAUGUGGUUUAAUUCGAAGCAACGCGAGAACCUUACCAGGUCUUGACAUCCUCUGACAUCCUAGAGAUAGGACGUCCCCUUCGGGGCAGAGUGACAGUGUGCAUGUGUCGUCAGCUCGUGUCGUGAGAUGUGGGUAAGUCCGCAACGAGCGCAACCCUUGAUCUUAGUUGCCAGCAUUCA